CCUAAAUGCAGACUGCGGAAGGAGACAUUACAGAGUUAUACAACUCCCAUACCAUCUGUUAACCUACCCAGUUAUGCCUCGGCGUAAGCUCGGUUGGAGGCACCUGCAGCUACCCUGUAGUUGCGGACUGCCAACUCCAGCCGCGGCCCGCCGGCGGUACACUAAACUCUGUUUUAUUUUAUAUUCUGAGCGUCUUAUUUUAAUAAGUUAAAACUUUCAACAACGGAUCUCUUGGUUCUGGCAUCGAUGAAGAACGCAGCGAAAUGCGAUAAGUAAUGUGAAUUGCAGAAUUCAGUGAAUCAUCGAAUCUUUGAACGCACAUUGCGCCCAUCAGUAUUCUGGUGGGCAUGCCUGUUCGAGCGUCAUUUCAACCCUUAAGCCUAGCUUAGUGUUGGGAAUCUGCUGUACUGCAGUUCCUUAAAGACAGUGGCGGAGCGGCGGUAGUCCUCUGAGCGUAGUAAUUUAUUUCUCGCUUUUGUCAGGCUCUGUCCUCCCGCCAUAAAACCCCCAAUUUUUUAGUGGUUGACCUCGGAUCAGGUAGGAAUACCCGCUGAACUUAAGCAUAUCAUAGGCCCGGGAAGGAA
Molecule: ribosomal RNA, 584 nt
Filed under: Apiospora sacchari
Lineage: Eukaryota; Fungi; Ascomycota; Sordariomycetes; Amphisphaeriales; Apiosporaceae
Description: eukaryotic LSU rRNA
Rfam family: 5.8S ribosomal RNA (bases 212-365)
Source: RNAcentral